UGGAAUGGGCGCAGCCUGAUCCAGCCAUGCCGCGUGAGUGAUGAAGGCCUUAGGGUUGUAAAGCUCUUUCGGCGGGGAAGAUAAUGACGGUACCCGCAGAAGAAGCCCCGGCUAACUUCGUGCCAGCAGCCACGGUAAUUGACCAAUCCGCGGUAAU
This 157-nucleotide ribosomal RNA is filed under the name uncultured bacterium. RNAcentral's name for it is "partial 16S ribosomal RNA". It matches the Rfam family "Bacterial small subunit ribosomal RNA", at positions 365 to 537 of the family's 1533-position model. The record is from RNAcentral.